RNAcentral lists this long non-coding RNA (326 nucleotides) under Homo sapiens (human). Its description in RNAcentral is "non-protein coding lnc-HNRNPA2B1-2:3". Lineage: Eukaryota; Metazoa; Chordata; Mammalia; Primates; Hominidae. The record is from RNAcentral.
GGGGCUCGUGGGGAGUGGGAGGAAGCUGGGGAGAAGAUGAGUUGAGAGCAGUCCAGUGUGAGGGAAAGUGGGGAUCCUGGGCCAACUUACCAUUAAGAGGGUCCAGUCCUGUGACUGCUGUGAAGUAACCAGGAUUCCACAUAGAGAUGGGGCUCAAAGUCAGCCCAGGAGCAGCACUGUGGUCCCAGCAGCACCUCUGGGCCAGUCCAGCCAGGUGUAGAGUGAAGCUGAGCCCUUGAUUCAUCCUUGAUUCCAUUGUGAAGUCACACAGCAGCUUGGUGUGUUAAAGGCAAACCUCAUGGGUGUCUAGUAAGCCUUGAUUGUUU